GCACCACAGAAAAAAAACUUAGCACCACGGGAGGUAGCUUCCCUCCAAUUGGUCCAACUGAUGUGUAUAGGGGUCUAAAGCAAUCUAUUGGGGUCUAACAUGGUUUGUUAUGCUCAUUAGUCCACAGGCACAUAUGGUCAAAUCUACACAAGUCCUGGGGUCUUUUGGUGUAUAUAUCAUUUAAGAAAAAUAUAAGCACCACAGAAAAAAAACUUAGCACCACGGGAGGUAGCUUCCCUCCAAUUGGUCCAACUAACGUGUAUAGGGGUCUAAAGCACUCUAUUGGGGUCUAAGAUGGUUUGUUAAGCUCAUUAGUCCACAGGCACAUAUGGUCCAAUCUACACAAGUCCUGGGUCUUUUGGUGUAUAUAUCAUUUAAGAAAAAUAUAAGCACCACAGAAAAAAAAACUUAGCACCACGGGAGGUAGCUUCCCUCCAAUUGGUCCAACUAACGUGUAUAGGGGUCUAAAGCACUCUAUUGGGGUCUAAGAUGGUUUGUUAAGCUCAUUAGUCCACAGGCACAUAUGGUCCAAUCUACACAAGUCCUGGGGUCUUUUGGUGUAUAUAUCAUUUAAGAAAAAUAUAAGCACCACCAGAAAAAAACUUAGCAC
This 610-nucleotide long non-coding RNA is filed under the name Mytilus galloprovincialis (Mediterranean mussel). The record is from RNAcentral. Lineage: Eukaryota; Metazoa; Mollusca; Bivalvia; Mytilida; Mytilidae.